AACCCACUAGAGACCCAGAGAAAGAAGCAGGUUUCUUCAAAGUCCCAGGGCGAGUUGUGUGAGAACUGGAACUAAAAGCCCUGCUAUGAAGAGACAGACUUGAAAUGGGGUAGACACCAUCCCCAGAGUCGAUUCUCUCCCUAUCUCAACUUGCCCCAAGAAAAUCUAAGUAAUCCCCCUCCAAAGUCUCCGCCCCGGUCUCGGACCGCUCCGGCUCGGGCGGCUGGCGGAAAACUUCGACCACGUUCCUACCGCCUCCCAGACGAACGCUCCCGCCUGGGUUUUGAAAGCGGCCGCCUAAAUGAAUGAUCUCCGCAGCCAGGCGGGCUUCCUCGCCGGGCUGGGGAAGUGCUGACCGGCCGCCCGGGGCUGGCCUCCGCGCCGCGCCGCGCCGCACCUGUGGCCCGCCCGCUCGCCCGCCCGCCCGCUCGCCCCGCCGCGGCCCUGACCAGGCAGCUCUGCGGCCAGCCUGCCCCAUGCUCGCCCCGCGGCCGCCCCGGGCUGCGGGUCCGACCCCGCCGGUCACAGAGCUCGCUCCCCGCCUCCCCGGGGAGGGAGCUCCAGCCUCACCCCGCCGUCAUCACCACAUUGUAGAUGACCAGGAGAAGAAUUGGAACAUGGGGCAAGAAGUACUCAUGGUUAAGCAGUCUUGGCCAAAGAUGGAUGAUCUGUAUGAAGGCUUUGCUGUCCUGGAUCCAAGGUAUACAAUCAGUUCCCUGGGGGUGGAGAGAGUUUCUGGCAUAAACUCAGUACCUGUGUGCCAGGUAGGGGCUUUCACAGACCCAGGGACUGACUAUGCCUGAACUCCGUUACUCUUGAUAUCAAUCUAAGAAUGAGGAGUUAUUAUGUCAAUUUACUAGAUAGUGAAACUGGGGUACAAGCUACCAAUUAUAGCAAGUAGCACUGUAAAGCUCCAGGGAGCCUUAGCUUACUGGGGACCCCCAGAGUAAACCACGUGGAACCGGGAUCUAUGCAAAAAGCAAGAGGAAUUUAUUAUUCCAGUGCACUGAGGAGACCUGAAGGAGAGGCGGAGACCCCCAGCAGUCGUUUGGUGAGUUUUUAUAUGGUUUCCAGGGGCAGAAUAUAGCAUCAGCAACUAGGCACAAUAUGAUUGGUGGAACAGUGAACCCUUUAAACUGAUUGGUCUUUAGGGAAUGAGGUGACAAGGACUUCCCUUGUCUGAAGGUGGGCAACUGUCUAUCCUGUGGAAUGUGUCCCCACAUGCAGGUCGGUUUUGCCCUGUUGUCUGAAAAAUGCUAAUUAGCCUCUCCCUUCCCAAGUGUUUCAUGACCUCCCAAAGUUCCUAAGCUGACCUUUUCAGCACCUUUUAGGAAUAGAACAUGGGACUAGUCCAUGAGGAAAAUUGUUCCAC
RNAcentral lists this long non-coding RNA (1372 nucleotides) under Mus musculus (house mouse). Its description in RNAcentral is "predicted gene, 21691". Lineage: Eukaryota; Metazoa; Chordata; Mammalia; Rodentia; Muridae. The record is from RNAcentral.